This 255-nucleotide ribosomal RNA is filed under the name uncultured bacterium. Its description in RNAcentral is "partial 16S ribosomal RNA". It matches the Rfam family "Bacterial small subunit ribosomal RNA", at positions 524 to 776 of the family's 1533-position model. The record is from RNAcentral.
UACGUAGGGUGCAAGCGGUUGUCCGGAAUUAUUGGGCGUAAAGAGCUCGUAGGCGGUCUGUCGCGGUCGGCUGUGAAACCCGGGGCUCAACCCCGGGCCUGCAGUCGAUACGGGCAGACUAGAGUGUGGUAGGGGAGACUGGAAUUCUGGUGUAGCGGUGAAAUUCGUAGAUAUCGAGAGGAACACCGGUGGCGAAAGGCGGCCUUCUGGACGAGUGACUGACGCUGAGACGCGAAAGCGUGGGGAGCAAACAGG